This 1396-nucleotide long non-coding RNA is filed under the name Panax ginseng (ginseng). RNAcentral describes it as "long non-coding RNA (PGIN_LNC005437)". The record is from RNAcentral. Lineage: Eukaryota; Viridiplantae; Streptophyta; Magnoliopsida; Apiales; Araliaceae.
UUGGGAAUAGUGUGUAAAGUUUAAUGUAUAAACAAUUUAUGUUUAUAUCUUCCGCAAUAGUGAUAGAAUUAGUAUACCGGAUCCGCGGCGAUUUGGGACCCGGAUUCGGGGAUGCUACAGUCCUCAAUAGGGAAAAAUCUAAAAGAAUAUAAUAGGAAACAAGUUUUAAAUCAAUAUUCGCAGCGGAAAUAAUAAUUCAUUAGAAGAGUUAAGUAGAGAAUGAAAACUACUAUCUUUUAUGAUUUAAAAAUCCAUCAUCAAUAUUUUAUCCCUGUAACAUCAAUCAAUAUACAUCUUGAAUCAAAUAUUCAUCUUUGCACUACAGGCCAAAGAUAUUCAUCAGUUGAUCAUGUUCAUCUCAACACCUGUUCAUCUUUGCACUACGGGCCAAAGAUAUUCAUCAGAAAAUCAUUCAUCUUUGCACUACAGACCAAAGAUAUUCAGUUAUAUCAUCAUUUAGGACUGAGGAUGAUGAAAAAUAUUUUAAAAAAAAUGAAUCCAGUGAGACAAAAGAACAAAUAUUAGGGAUUCGUACUUCGGUUUAUCCAUGUUCAAAAACACCCCAUAAUAUACUAUGGUGGAGUAAAAUUCAAGAAUAAUAAUCAAAACAUGGAUACGAUCAAAGAUAGUAACAAAAAUAGACAUCUGGGACAAAGAACGAAAAUUUAAUUUUUUCUGUGAAUAGUGUCGUAUUCGUGAAUAGUGACGUAUACGUGAAUAGUUCCGUAUACGUGAAUAGUAACCCCGACACAAAAAAAUAGAAAUUUAACAAGAAAAAUUAUACUAAUAUUUCGACAUAACGAUAUUGAAAGAAAUAAUAUCAUUUAUAUAAAAAAAAUAACAUCCCUUACCUUAAAAAGACAGUACUUCUAACUGGAAUAUCGGAUAUAGUGUUGAAGGGAACUUGUAUAGCAACACUCAAAAUAUCAAAAUACUCACAAGAAUACGCUCGAUAAUAUAUAGAGAGAAAAUUUCAGUUUCUGGUGUGAUUUUCAAUUCUAACCUAAGCACCCUAUUUAUAGAAAAAUGGUUAGAAUACCAAAGCAGAAAAUUUAAUAAAAUAUUAAUAUAUUAAAAAAAAUUUCACGCCCAUCUUAGAAAAUCUGAACUCAGCUCAUUUCCAAUACUAGUGGGGCCCACCAACAUAAUAAAAACGUUUUUCUUAAAAAAAAUAUUUAAAACUUUAAAAAUCAAUUAUUCCGGAACUUCAAUAAUUCAUAAUAAAUAGCCAUUUUAUCAGAAAAAUUCGAAUCUUAUGUCCAUUCCAUAAAAAAUUCAAUUCUCUACAACUUUGUAAGUUUAAGUUUUUCCAAAUUUCAAGCAGAAAUUGACCGAAAUUCACAUACGGACGAUUUUACAGGCUAUAAUCAAAUUUCAGUAAAAAAAUGGGGCCCAC